This is a long non-coding RNA of Ictalurus furcatus (blue catfish), 567 nucleotides long. RefSeq lists it as uncharacterized. The transcript has 3 exons. The record is from RefSeq and is a predicted model, not a curated record. Lineage: Eukaryota; Metazoa; Chordata; Actinopteri; Siluriformes; Ictaluridae.
UGAGAGAGAGAGAGAGAGAGAGAGAGAGAGAAAGAGUCGUGCGCGCUGAGCCAUGAGCCAUUUUUGGGAAGCUCUUCGUGACAGUCGGCUGUGUCGUGAUCUUUUGGAGAGGAGAACAUUUACGCAUGGUGCGCAACAUUUAUCCGAUCCACCGGCCACAUUUACAUUGACAAUAUUCCCACCAUCACAAAAGGGCAUAGCCUGGUUGCUAAUAUUAGCAAUCUCAUAGGCCAGAAGCCCUAAGACCAAGAAAAAAUAACUGAAAAACUACUUCAAGAAGACAUAACAACACAAUGAAAGGCCCUGCUGUCUACAUUUAUCAAUGUGAGUAGUGAAAAAUGGUCCAUAUAUGCUCCACAGCAAAGCAAUCUCCCAGCUUCCUUCCUAGCUCAGCUAUAGCUCCCCCUAGCAGCCUCUCCAUAUUUCCUUGUUUGUGCUUAGCAUAAGGUCCUCUCUUUUCUUUUUUUCAACCCAUAAUAACCCAAUAUAGCACAUCCACUGACAUGAAUAUGAGCCAUAACACCUCACAAUAAACCCAUCCAUCCAUUGGUAGCCUAGGCAGUUGCC